Molecule: ribosomal RNA, 269 nt
Filed under: uncultured bacterium
Lineage: Bacteria
Description: partial 16S ribosomal RNA
Rfam family: Bacterial small subunit ribosomal RNA
Source: RNAcentral
AAGAUGGCGACCGGCGCACGGGUGAGUAACACGUAUCCAACCUGCCGAUAACUCUGGAAUAGCCUUUCGAAAGAAAGAUUAAUAUCCGAUAGCAUAUAUUUCCCGCAUGGGUUUUAUAUUAAAGAAAUUCGGUAUGAGAUGGGGAUGCGUUCCAUUAGUUUGUUGGGGGGGUAACGGCCCACCAAGACUACGAUGGAUAGGGGUUCUGAGAGGAAGGUCCCCCACAUUGGAACUGAGACACGGUCCAAACUCCUACGGGAGGCAGCAUG